This 557-nucleotide ribosomal RNA is filed under the name uncultured fungus. RNAcentral describes it as "SSU rRNA". It matches the Rfam family "Eukaryotic small subunit ribosomal RNA", at positions 194 to 755 of the family's 1831-position model. Lineage: Eukaryota; Fungi. The record is from RNAcentral.
GGAAGGGGUGUAUUUAUUAGAUAAAAAACCAAUGCCCUUCGGGGCUCUUUGGUGAUUCAUGAUAACUUAACGGAUCGCAUGGCCUUGCGCCGGCGACGGUUCAUUCAAAUUUCUGCCCUAUCAACUUUCGAUGGUAAGGUAUUGGCUUACCAUGGUUUCAACGGGUAACGGGGAAUUAGGGUUCGAUUCCGGAGAGGGAGCCUGAGAAACGGCUACCACAUCCAAGGAAGGCAGCAGGCGCGCAAAUUACCCAAUCCCGACACGGGGAGGUAGUGACAAUAAAUACUGAUACAGGGCUCUUUUGGGUCUUGUAAUCGGAAUGAGUACAAUUUAAACCCCUUAACGAGGAACAAUUGGAGGGCAAGUCUGGUGCCAGCAGCCGCGGUAAUUCCAGCUCCAAUAGCGUAUAUUAAAGUUGUUGCAGUUAAAAAGCUCGUAGUUGAACCUUGGGCCUGGCUGGCCGGUCCGCCUCACCGCGUGUACUGGUCCGGCCGGGCCUUUCCUUCUGGAGAUUCCCAUGCCCUUUACUGGGUGUGCGGGGGAACCAGGACUUUUAC